AUUUAAUUUCUUGGAUGAGAAAUAGUUUGGUAUUUUGGCUCAUGAUUUGGAUUUUUGCAGGGAUGGUGUGAGUGAAGGCUAGUUCAAUCAAAUUUUGCUUUAUGAGUUGGAUGCAAUUAGGAAGAUACGGAUGCACCCUCACAGAUAGUUUUGGAUGUAGCUACCUUGGAGCAGCAACCAAGUUGCACAUUGUCCCUAGAAACAUCCCUUUCAAAGUACAAUGCAUAUACUGUAAAAUCAAGAGGGUGGUUUGGUCUUCGAUGAUUUAGUAGUUUAUAUGUGGCAGAAUAUUGUUGACGGUGAAACCGAGUAGAAAUUCGUCAAUUGUAAGAUCUCAUGCCCCUUUUUUAUAUUUCUUUUUGGAAGUAAAUCACAUCAUUGAGUGGGCCCCUCCUUUCAUUGACAUGUAUGAGAAGGAAUGCAUUCUUACUAAGCCAUUGAAAGUCACAGGAUAUGCUAUCCAAAUCAUAGAAAAUUGUUGAAAUGUAAUUAAUUUAUUUUUAUUAUUUUGUUUUACAGGUUGCAGGCAGAGACAGAUGAUGGCUAGAUGGAGAGAUUUCUUUUAUAUGUAUUUAGAACAUUUUCAACAUAUUAUUGUAAAUAUUAUACAAUUUUCAUUGUAAAGUAAUACAAUUUAUUUAGUAUUCAUUUUUAA
Molecule: long non-coding RNA, 655 nt
Organism: Magnolia sinica
Lineage: Eukaryota; Viridiplantae; Streptophyta; Magnoliopsida; Magnoliales; Magnoliaceae
Exons: 3
Source: RefSeq, a predicted model, not a curated record